This is a non-coding RNA of Ixodes scapularis (black-legged tick), 53 nucleotides long. Lineage: Eukaryota; Metazoa; Arthropoda; Arachnida; Ixodida; Ixodidae. The record is from Rfam.
CCUCGAGGACGACCUCGAGGAGGACCUCAAGGACGACCUCGAGGACGACCUCA